GAUGUGGAUAAGGGACAGGUGAGUCAUCGAAUCUUUGAACGCACAUUGCGCCCCUUGGUAUUCCAUGGGGCAUGCCUGUUCGAGCGUCAUUUGUACCCUCAAGCCAUGCUUGGUGUUGGGUGAUUGUCUACUCACUUGGGUAGACUCGCCUCAAAUUCAUUGGCAGCUGGUAUUCUGGUUUUAAGCGUAGCACAAUUACGUUUUAUUCUGGGGAGCCCGCGUCCACGAAGCACAUUAUCACGUUUGACCUCGGAUCAGGUAGGGAUACCCGCUGAACUUAAGCAUAUCAAUAAGCGGAGG
This 300-nucleotide unclassified non-coding RNA is filed under the name uncultured Pleosporales. Its description in RNAcentral is "sequence contains 5.8S rRNA gene, ITS2". The stretch from base 1 to 89 matches the Rfam family "5.8S ribosomal RNA", at positions 58 to 154 of the family's 154-position model. Lineage: Eukaryota; Fungi; Ascomycota; Dothideomycetes; Pleosporales. The record is from RNAcentral.